RNAcentral lists this non-coding RNA (21 nucleotides) under Caenorhabditis elegans. The record is from RNAcentral. Lineage: Eukaryota; Metazoa; Nematoda; Chromadorea; Rhabditida; Rhabditidae.
UGAUCCUUUCGGUAUAGAUAA